RNAcentral lists this unclassified non-coding RNA (390 nucleotides) under Apiopetalum velutinum. RNAcentral describes it as "partial contains external transcribed spacer and 18S ribosomal RNA". Lineage: Eukaryota; Viridiplantae; Streptophyta; Magnoliopsida; Apiales; Apiaceae. The record is from RNAcentral.
GUCCUGGUCGGUUGGAUCCCUGCUUGGGGCAGCGACAACCGCAUGUUCAUCCCUCUUCAUUCUUUGCUCCAAGAGCCACAGUGCCUUGGGCCCGACUUUUGUUGCCUGUGCUGUAUACCUACGUAGAUGGAAUUCGUUGCUCCAAUCGUCCCCAUUUCACCUUGUGCUGCUCACGCGGUACGGGGAUGAGCCAUAUGGUGCCCCUUGUCGUCCGUGCACGCAAGACAUUUCACAUGUCGCGAGCAAUGGCCGACUUGUUGUUGCCCGAUCUCUCGGAUACGGAACCUUAAGCGGGUAGGGGGUCCUUGGGCCUCUAUUUGCCCAAAUUAAGCGUUCUCGCUUCUUACGAACGACUGUCAUGCUCGCGUUGACCUGAGGAUGCUUUCGGUC